Molecule: long non-coding RNA, 1410 nt
Organism: Armigeres subalbatus
Lineage: Eukaryota; Metazoa; Arthropoda; Insecta; Diptera; Culicidae
Exons: 5
Source: RefSeq, a predicted model, not a curated record
UUAUACUUAUAUUAUUAGUAAAACAUACUCAAAAAAUCGGUAAAGUUUACUGAUAUUCCGACAAAACCGACUUCACCUAUUUUUGAGUAAUCGCAUUUACCCAUAUUUGGGUGAAAAAUUGAACAUAAACAAAUCCAAACUGAUGGUCGCCGCGUCAAUGUCGUCGUCGUCGCAAGUAAUUUUUUUCCUAUUUUUAUCAAUUACCGGACAGUCAAAAUUGAUAAUCUUUGAUCCGAAUAUAUUCAAGCACCGGUCGGCAGCACCAUAUCGGCUUCCUCGAAGGUUUACAUGGCGAGAUCAACGAGGAAACAGAAAAGUUCCCGAACCAUCGGCGGAACCAUCUCUCCUCGGAUAGCUGACAAUUGCUGAUCACAAACGGGACAAUAUGUUGCUUCGCGCACCUGGUGCCAUGGCGAUCAACGAUUAUAGAAAACAAUAGUUCCCGAACCAUCGGCGGAGAGAACCAUCUCUGCUCAGAUAGCUGACCACGAACCAUUGAAAAUACAGGAAACGCAAGGAAGAAAUAGCAUGUGGGCACUAAAGGGAUGCUGAUUUCUUUUUAAACCAAAUCCACCUUUUGCCUCCGAUGCUCCUGUUGUUAUCCCCCUCAUUCGCUGUCUGUCCCGGUGCUACGAUUCCUGCUCGUAGCGAAAUCCAUUCAUUCGCUGCUUUUCGAUCCUGCUGCUGUAAUAUAUAUUUUUAUUCAACUGAACAAUAAGCAUGCUGCGGAAAACCGUUUGUUUCACCAAGCUGAUCAGCUGUCAUAUACCACGAAGAAAGCUUUAUUGGACAACAACCAUUCUGGAUUUGACGGGUCCAGAGCUUCCCCAGAAGCAACUGCGAACGAUAGAUAAUGAAGGAGGUUAGCAGGCCAUUGGAGGAACAAUCUUUAGCGGAGCCGUCGACAUAUCGCGAGAGAGAACGUGAACAUUUGCGCGAAUCGGACUGAAAACAAAGGCUGCUGCUUUUUCGUACCGAGGGCAGAUUUUACUAUGGGAUGUUAAAGUAGCUUCCAAACCGAAGAUCUUGAUUUAAUGAAUACAUUUUUAGGUCUUUGCACUUGUGGUGAUGACGGAACGGAUUUUUUACCGUACUUCUAGCCAAGCUUCCAGCAUCCUAAUAGAUCCCUACACGGCUACUGCGGAGCAGGCUAGCAGGUGACCCGGUUAACUAGCAGGUGCUGCGGUUAACGCUUACUGACUCCAAGCUGCUGCUGAUCAUCCAGCCGUCGCCAGUUCUGGUAUCGUCGAUCGGGUGAUUUUAAUCUUUCGGCAACCAAAGCCCAACGUCCAACAACGAAUACACGGGUUGAUAAAAGCUGUACAUCGUAAAUAUAUUAAUAUUUUGAAAUUUGAUUAAAAAGGCAGGCCAAAAAGCUGCCAGCUGAUAAUAGAUAUAAAACGACGAAAA